RNAcentral lists this ribosomal RNA (326 nucleotides) under uncultured bacterium. RNAcentral's name for it is "bacterial SSU rRNA". It matches the Rfam family "Bacterial small subunit ribosomal RNA", at positions 28 to 334 of the family's 1533-position model. The record is from RNAcentral.
GAUGAACGCUGGCGGCGUGCUUAACACAUGCAAGUCGAACGGAGAGCUCAUGACAGAGGAUUCGUCCAAUGAAUUGAGUUUCUUAGUGGCGGACGGGUGAGUAACGCGUGAGGAACCUGCCUCAAAGAGGGGGACAACAGUUGGAAACGACUGCUAAUACCGCAUAAGCCCACAGCUCGGCAUCGAGCAGAGGGAAAAGGAGUGAUCCGCUUUGAGAUGGCCUCGCGUCCGAUUAGCUAGUUGGUGAGGUAACGGCCCACCAAGGCAACGAUCGGUAGCCGGACUGAGAGGUUGAACGGCCACAUUGGGACUGAGACACGGCCCAG